UGCGUAGGGUGCAAGCGUUGUCCGGAAUUAUUGGGCGUAAAGAGCUCGUAGGCGGUUUGUCGCGUCGAAUGUGAAAACCCGGGGCUCAACCCCGGGCCUGCAUUCGAUACGGGCAGACUAGAGUUCGGUAGGGGAGUCUGGAAUUCCUGGUGUAGCGGUGAAAUGCGCAGAUAUCAGGAGGAACACCGGUGGCGAAGGCGGGACUCUGGGCCGAUACUGACGCUGAGGAGCGAAAGCGUGGGGAGCAAACAGG
RNAcentral lists this ribosomal RNA (253 nucleotides) under uncultured bacterium. RNAcentral describes it as "partial 16S ribosomal RNA". It matches the Rfam family "Bacterial small subunit ribosomal RNA", at positions 524 to 776 of the family's 1533-position model. The record is from RNAcentral.